Molecule: long non-coding RNA, 987 nt
Organism: Cyprinus carpio carpio
Lineage: Eukaryota; Metazoa; Chordata; Actinopteri; Cypriniformes; Cyprinidae
Source: Ensembl
CACACACACACACACAGUAUUUUAUUUUCUGCAUUUCACUUCUGCUCCAAUUGCUUCCUUUAAAAUAAACCUGCCUGUAUACUAAAUAUUGGCUCUGUGAUAAAUGGCAUGUUAUGUUUCUACAUUCUUUUAUGAUGAUGGCAGUUCAGCAGAGUUGGAGCAGACCUCCUGUCGGACAACAUCUCUAAGGCACUAUGAACCAUGUGACUGAUGAGAUGGAUAUUCGAAGAUAUUUUAGCAGAGAGAAAGAGAAGCAGCCACAGGAGAUUGGCAGGCCAGUUGAUUCUGAGCGAGCCUGUGUGAUUGAGGAUCCUAUGUAUCCAGCCUCAACCAUUCAUCAGAAGCACUGUGAAAGCAGGGAAUUCUUAGAACCAGUUUCCACGGGAUGAAAAAGGGCAUACUAUUGGAUGAUGGGGACAUACUUUUUUGAAGAAACUUUGAAGAGAUGGGAGUGUGUGCCUCACUUGGUCUUAGCUGUGUUCCAGGUUCCUGAGUGGGCUGCUUAUUUGCAUUGGCUCGCUUUGCAACAGGUUAUUAUUUAUCUGAAAUAAAAAAAAAAGUAAGCAUGCUGUUUACGCAAAUAAACUGCAUUAUUAACAUUAUUGUGAUGGUCACUGAUACUAUUAGUAAUUUAUAGGAAAAAAAUUACAAAACACAAGAACCACAUAGCACAUUUAUUGUCAAUGAUAUUUAUUUUUUUUACAUCAGACGAUUGCAAACACCUAUUUACACCAGAUAUUUACACCAGAGCUGUCUAUGUUAUAGAACAUUAAAAAAAAUAAAAUAAAAAAAAACAUCCUGGCAUCGUGAAACAUUAAGAAUGAUGUAAAUGAAACUUCAUAAUGUUUCACCUGAUUAUAUAUUUAGUCAGGAAUAAUAGUUUGGAAAAAGUCUAACUAGUAAAAUGUGUACAAGUUAUAUGAAAACUAAUACAAGUAGAUUAAUAAUAAAAAAGACUUACUCAUGUUUAUCUCUGCUAGGUCAAGC